AGUAUGUACAUGCAGGGCACGGUAAGUAUAUCAAUUUUUUUAAAAUGUUCUUUACAUGAUUCUAAAUUUUUUAGAUUACACAAAGCGCGGAUACAACUCUUUUGUAGCUUAAACACCCUGUUGAUUCCCGGACCCGAACCCCAAAUGGAGAUGCCAUAUGAGGCCACUGCAUGAAAACAAGAGAAAUAUGCUGUUCUUACUACUUCAGGUUCGGUACACUUCACCAAUCUUCGCACCAUAAAAACUGCACUCGCGAGUCUUCUACAAAGGGCACUCACAUGGUCAUCCCAGGCAAACGGGAAACAAUCAUCGAAGACUGCACAGAAUAUAUUAUGAAAAACAUCAUACAACUCACCUGCGUUCUCGGAUUUUUGGAGAGGCUGCCAAUCCACUGUGGAAAGAGCGAUUUUAAAAAAAUCUUUGUUGGUUAUCAUCAGUAUUUGUCCGUAGUGGUCAC
This 457-nucleotide long non-coding RNA is filed under the name Onthophagus taurus. RNAcentral's name for it is "uncharacterized LOC111413478". Lineage: Eukaryota; Metazoa; Arthropoda; Insecta; Coleoptera; Scarabaeidae. The record is from RNAcentral.